This 254-nucleotide ribosomal RNA is filed under the name uncultured bacterium. Its description in RNAcentral is "partial 16S ribosomal RNA". It matches the Rfam family "Bacterial small subunit ribosomal RNA", at positions 524 to 776 of the family's 1533-position model. The record is from RNAcentral.
GACGAACCGUGCGAACGUUAUUCGGAAUCACUGGGCUUAAAGCGCGUGUAGGCGGGACGGCACGUCGGUCGCUGAAAUCCCUCGGCUUAACCGGGGAACUGCGUCCGAUACUGGAUGACUUGAGUUCGGGAGAGGGAUGCGGAAUUCCAGGUGUAGCGGUGAAAUGCGUAGAUAUCUGGAGGAACACCGGUGGCGAAGGCGGCAUCCUGGACCGACACUGACGCUGAGGAGCGAAAGCCAGGGGAGCAAACGGG